Molecule: ribosomal RNA, 490 nt
Filed under: uncultured bacterium
Lineage: Bacteria
Description: partial 16S ribosomal RNA
Rfam family: Bacterial small subunit ribosomal RNA
Source: RNAcentral
AAUGAACGCUGGCGGCAUGCCUUACACAUGCCAGUCGAACGGCAGCAUGACCUAGCUUGCUAGGUUGAUGGCGAGUGGCGAACGGGUGAGUAAUGCAUCGGAACGUGCCUUUUAGUGGGGGAUAACGUAGCGAAAGUUACGCUAAUACCGCAUAUUCUCUGAGGAGGAAAGCAGGGGACCUUCGGGCCUUGCGCUAGAAGAGCGGCCGAUGUCGGAUUAGCUAGUUGGUGAGGUAAAGGCUCACCAAGGCAACGAUCCGUAGCGGGUCUGAGAGGAUGAUCCGCCACACUGGAACUGAGACACGGCCCAGACUCCUACGGGAGGCAGCAGUGGGGAAUUUUGGACAAUGGGCGCAAGCCUGAUCCAGCCAUGCCGCGUGAGUGAAGAAGGCCUUCGGGUUGUAAAGCUCUUUCGGCUGGGAAGAAAUCGCACCCUCUAAUACAGGGUGUGGAUGACGGUACCAGCAUAAGAAGCACCGGCUAACUACGUG